CCUACGGGAGGCAGCAGUGAGGAAUAUUGGUCAAUGGACGCAAGUCUGAACCAGCCAUGCCGCGUGCAGGAAGACGGCCCUAUGAGUUGUAAACUGCUUUUGUACGAGGGUAAACGCAGAUACGCGUACCUGUCUGAAAGUACUUUAUGAAUAAGGAUCGGCUAACUCCGUGCCAGCAGCCGCGGUAAUACGGAGGAUUCGAGCGUUAUCCGGAUUUAUUGGGUUUAAAGGGUGCGUAGGCGGUCGGAUAAGUUAGGUGUGAAAGCCCGAGGCUCAACUUCGGAAUUGCCUCUGAUACUGUCAGGCUAGAGAGUAGUUGCGGUAGGCGGAAUGUAUGGUGUAGCGGUGAAAUGCUUAGAGAUCAUACAGAACACCGAUUGCGAAGGCAGCUUACCAAGCUACUUCUGACGUUGAGGCACGAAAGCGUGGGGAGCAAACAGGAUUAGAUACCCCUGUAGUC
RNAcentral lists this ribosomal RNA (460 nucleotides) under uncultured bacterium. Its description in RNAcentral is "partial 16S ribosomal RNA". It matches the Rfam family "Bacterial small subunit ribosomal RNA", at positions 338 to 795 of the family's 1533-position model. The record is from RNAcentral.